GACGAACGCUGGCGGCGUGCUUAACACAUGCAAGUCGAACGGAAAGGCCCUGCUUUUGUGGGGUGCUCGAGUGGCGAACGGGUGAGUAACACGUGAGUAACCUGCCCUUGACUUUGGGAUAACUUCAGGAAACUGGGGCUAAUACCGGAUCGGAGCUCCUGCUGCAUGGUGGGGGUUGGAAAGUUUCGGCGGUUGGGGAUGGACUCGCGGCUUAUCAGCUUGUUGGUGGGGUAGUGGCUUACCAAGGCUUUGACGGGUAGCCGGCCUGAGCGGGUGACCGGCCACAUUGGGACUGAGAUACGGCCCAGACUCCUACGGGAGGCAGCAGUGGGGAAUAUUGCACAAUGGGCGGAAGCCUGAUGCGGCAACGCCGCGUGCGGGAUGACGGCCUUCGGGUUGUAAACCGCUUUCGCCUGUGACGAAGCGUGAGUGACGGUAAUGGGUAAAGAAGCACCGGCUAACUACGUG
RNAcentral lists this ribosomal RNA (468 nucleotides) under uncultured bacterium. RNAcentral's name for it is "partial 16S ribosomal RNA". It matches the Rfam family "Bacterial small subunit ribosomal RNA", at positions 28 to 507 of the family's 1533-position model. The record is from RNAcentral.